GCACGCUCUUCACUGCAUCUAUGUGCUUUUUGUACUGAAUGGUCCGGUUUCUCGUCGCCAUGGAUUCCCAAAAAAGAAAAAAACCAGGAGAAAAAGAAAAACUAUCGAUGAAAAUUUACAGUGGGUUUGUUGGCGGACGAGGAACUUGUGAGUGAGGAAAAUGGUUUCUCAGGAAUUUCAAGAGUGUGAGCAGGAGAGGAAUUGAACGACUCAUGGAAAUUAGGAUUUUGGGGGUUU
Molecule: unclassified non-coding RNA, 237 nt
Filed under: Hevea brasiliensis (rubber tree)
Lineage: Eukaryota; Viridiplantae; Streptophyta; Magnoliopsida; Malpighiales; Euphorbiaceae
Source: RNAcentral